UACCAGCACCCCGAGUGGUCGGGACGAUUAUUGGGCCUAAAGCAUCCGUAGCCGGUUCCGCAAGUCUUCCGUUAAAUCCACCUGCUCAACAGAUGGGCCGCGGAGGAUACCGCGGAGCUAGGAGGCGGGAGAGGCAAACGGUACUCAGUGGGUAGGGGUAAAAUCCAUUGAUCCACUGAAGACCACCAGUGGCGAAGGCGGUUUGCCAGAACGCGCUCGACGGUGAGGGAUGAAAGCUGGGGGAGCAAACCGG
Molecule: ribosomal RNA, 253 nt
Filed under: uncultured archaeon
Lineage: Archaea
Description: partial 16S ribosomal RNA
Rfam family: Archaeal small subunit ribosomal RNA
Source: RNAcentral